Molecule: transfer RNA, 74 nt
Filed under: Cyclopsitta melanogenia
Lineage: Eukaryota; Metazoa; Chordata; Aves; Psittaciformes; Psittacidae
Description: tRNA-Asn
Source: RNAcentral
UAGGCAGAAGUCUGUUGUUUGGGACGCCUAGCUGUUAACUAGGAAUAUCGUGGGGUCGAAGCCCACCUGUCUAG